GUGGGGAAUAUUGGACAAUGGGCGAAAGCCUGAUCCAGCCAUGCCGCGUGUGUGAAGAAGGUCUUCGGAUUGUAAAGCACUUUAAGUUGGGAGGAAGGGCAGUAAGUUAAUACCUUGCUGUUUUGACGUUACCAACAGAAUAAGCACCGGCUAACUUCGUGCCAGCAGCCGCGGUAAUACGAAGGGUGCAAGCGUUAAUCGGAAUUACUGGGCGUAAAGCGCGCAUAGGUGGUUCAGCAAGUUGAAGGUGAAAUCCCCGGGCUCAACCUGGGAACUGCCUCCCAAACUACUGAGCUAGAGUACGGUAGAGGGUAGUGGAAUUUCCUGUGUAGCGGUGAAAUGCGUAGAUAUAGGAAGGAACACCAGUGGCGAAGGCGACUACCUGGACUGAUACUGACACUGAGGUGCGAAAGCGUGGGGAGCAAACAGGAUUAGAAACCCUUGUAGUCC
RNAcentral lists this ribosomal RNA (450 nucleotides) under uncultured bacterium. Its description in RNAcentral is "partial 16S ribosomal RNA". It matches the Rfam family "Bacterial small subunit ribosomal RNA", at positions 354 to 796 of the family's 1533-position model. The record is from RNAcentral.